GCAGGGCCUAUGACCUGGUGCACAACUUUAGACACCAUCAUCCUGGAGCAGCACCUCACCCUCACUUGCCGGGGUGUUGAUGACUUCCUCAAGGCUAAGGCCACAUUCAAGAUUUUGGACUUCAGUGAUGCAUUUUUGCUGAGCAAGUGCAAGGGCGCUGUCCAACCUCUGGUGCUGAAGCAGCCGAGAGACCCAAGCCUGCCACUCAGGAUAUGACAGCACAGCCAGUGGCCUCUACUGGAUCCUGUACAACCUCAGAAGACACCUAGACACUGGGAGUGCUGCCACCACGUGGUGCAAGAGUUCUGAGGGACCGCAAUUCUGAAGACAUUGAAUGCUGCUUCCUGCUCCCUCCAUGGACCUGCACAGAAUUGUCCCAUGUUUCUGUUUGUUUGGGCACCACUGAGGAAGGAAGCAUGAAGGACGCAGAGGUCAGGCCAUUCUAUUGCCCUCCUGCUGCUGGGUCUUUAAUCCUGAGAUGGCUUCAGGGGCUGGUCCUUCUCCAUGGCCCCCUCCACAUAUCUCAGCCAUUUUGCAAACCCUGGUCAGAAUGAAACAUUCCUUGGGAACUCGGGCCAUGAGAAGCAUCCUUCCUGACCACCUGACUGCGGAAACAUCCUUAUCGCAUCCUCCCGGGCGAAGGCCCAACAGCCUGACUGCAGGAACAUCCUUGCCAUAUCCUGCCGGGCAGCAAGCUCUACCGCCCAGACCCCUCCUUCCCAGUCCCAUGAUCGCCCCAGCCUGUGAGCGGCAGUUGGUGAUGGCACUAAGCUGAUUUCCUCCUCUGCAGGGUUUUGCUAGUAAUAAAGGUGUUGCUGUUGAAGCCACCAA
Molecule: long non-coding RNA, 831 nt
Filed under: Homo sapiens (human)
Lineage: Eukaryota; Metazoa; Chordata; Mammalia; Primates; Hominidae
Description: family with sequence similarity 95 member A
Source: RNAcentral